GACUCAUCUCAGCAGGGAUGUAGCUCCUGG
RNAcentral lists this non-coding RNA (30 nucleotides) under Homo sapiens (human). Lineage: Eukaryota; Metazoa; Chordata; Mammalia; Primates; Hominidae. The record is from RNAcentral.